RNAcentral lists this ribosomal RNA (250 nucleotides) under uncultured bacterium. RNAcentral describes it as "partial 16S ribosomal RNA". It matches the Rfam family "Bacterial small subunit ribosomal RNA", at positions 524 to 773 of the family's 1533-position model. The record is from RNAcentral.
UACGUAGGCAGCAAGCGUUGUUCGGAAUUACUGGGCGUAAAGAGUGUGUAGGCGGUGCUCCAAGUCUGGUGUGAAAUCUCCCGGCUCAACUGGGAGGGUGCGCCGGAAACUGGAGUGCUCGAGGGUGGGAGAGGAAAGCGGAAUUCCUGGUGUAGCGGUGAAAUGCGUAGAUAUCAGGAGGAACACCCGUGGUGUAGACAGCUUUCUGGACCACUUCUGACGCUGAGACACGAAAGCGUGGGUAGCAAAC